Molecule: ribosomal RNA, 460 nt
Filed under: uncultured bacterium
Lineage: Bacteria
Description: partial 16S ribosomal RNA
Rfam family: Bacterial small subunit ribosomal RNA
Source: RNAcentral
CCUACGGGAGGCAGCAGUGAGGAAUAUUGCUCAAUGGGCGCGAGCCUGAACCAGCCAAGUAGCGUGAAGGAUGACUGCCCUACGGGUUGUACACUUCUUUUAUAAAGGAAUAAAGUGAGGCACGUGUGCCUUUUUGUAUGUACUUUAUGAGUAAGGAUCGGCUAACUACGUGCCAGCAGCCGCGGUAAUCCGGAGGAUCCGAGCGUUAUCCGGGUUUAUUGGGUUUAAAGGGAGCGUAGAUGGGUUGUUAAGUCAGUUGUGAAAGUGUGCGGCUCAACCGUAAAAUUGCAAUUGAUACGGGCAGUCUUGAGUACAGUUGAGGUAGGCGGAAUUCGUGGUGUAGCGGUGAAAUGCUUAGAUAUCACGAAGAACUCCGAUUGCGAAGGCAGCUUACUAAACUGCCACUGACAUUGAUGCUCGAAAGUGUGGGUAUCAAACAGGAUUAGAUACCCGGGUAGGC